CUAUGAGCACACCAGUUCGUCAUUUCUCAUUUUCUCUGGGGGUUCUUAGAAAUGUGUGUCUUACCAGGAACUCGUCUUGAAGAAGACGUCGGCGGUUCGUGCUCUCCUUCGUCAUGCUUGCCAGGAAGCUGUCCGCUGAGUAGUCUCUU
Caenorhabditis elegans is the source of this 149-nucleotide non-coding RNA. NCBI's taxonomy places the organism in Eukaryota, Metazoa, Nematoda, Chromadorea, Rhabditida, Rhabditidae. The record is from Ensembl.